UUCCGCCUCUGCUAUCACUUAUGAGAAUUAGACGACAGCCGACAGCACACUCUUUCUUCCUCCCGCGGCUUGCCUUUGCUUCUCCUUUUCUCUCUCCAGGUUGAGGUUAGUGAGGUUAGUAGGUAACCUCUUCGCCCCUUCUGUGUGUUUUUUUUUAUAUAUGUUAAUCUUUGUAUGUGUCUACUAUAUACAAAUAAGGAAUUUUGUUCUUAAUUUUGUCAUUAAAUUAGAGAUCGAUUUAGAGUUUGUUAUGUCGUGAAUUAGAGAUUAUGUGUUAUUUUCAUUGAAUAUUUGAAUUGAUAUUGUAUAUUUAUGAUAUAUUGUUUUUGUUUGUGAAAUAAUUGAAUUAGGUUAGUUGAUGAAAUUAUCAAAUUAUGAUGAAAUGUUUGAAUUGAUAAAUGAUGAAAUUAUUAUAAAAUGUUUAAAUCGAUGAAAUUAAUUAUUGUGAAAUAUUAUAAUUGGACAAAAAAUUGAAUAUAAAUUUGAGAAAUGGUAUAUUUAUGGUAUACAGUAUAUUGAUGAUAUAUUGAUGAUAUAAUGAUGGUAUAUUUAUUGGUUAGCAAUUAAUGUUUUUUAUUUAUUCUUAAUUAAGCAUCAAUAAAUAAUUUUUUUUACUGCUGUAUUUUAACUCCGUCUAAAAAUGUUAUAGUCCUGCCACUGUUCCUAAUAUUACCAUUUUUAAAGUUUUGAUAUUGGCCGGUACUGAUAGCCUCUCCUCAUUGUUCAAUCGUCUUGGUCUCUUUAACAGCACUCAAUGAUAGCGAGCGAGUGUUGCAUCAAGUCAUCAACUGUCUUGCUUCAUUUAUUUUUAUUUUUAUAAAAUAAAUAAUUAUUGAUUGUCCCUCCGCCUCCGGUGAGGGAGGAGGAGGAGGAGGAGGAGUACAGUGAGAUGAUAUUUUCUUUUUCUGUCGUUAUUAAACAUCCCAUUCAAGUUGUUGCGGUC
RNAcentral lists this long non-coding RNA (943 nucleotides) under Panax ginseng (ginseng). RNAcentral's name for it is "long non-coding RNA (PGIN_LNC017848)". The record is from RNAcentral. Lineage: Eukaryota; Viridiplantae; Streptophyta; Magnoliopsida; Apiales; Araliaceae.